RNAcentral lists this ribosomal RNA (513 nucleotides) under uncultured bacterium. RNAcentral's name for it is "partial 16S ribosomal RNA". It matches the Rfam family "Bacterial small subunit ribosomal RNA", at positions 28 to 523 of the family's 1533-position model. The record is from RNAcentral.
AGCGAACGUUAGCGGCGGGCCUAACACAUGCAAGUCGAGCGAGAAAGGGGCUUCGGCCCUGGGUAAAGCGGCGGACGGGUGAGUAACACGUAGGUAAUCUUCCUUCGAGCGGGGGACAACGGUCCGAAAGGAACGCUAAUACCGCGUCAGUUCCCGAGGACCCUGGUCCUUGGGAGGAAAGCUAGGUCGCAAGAUCCGGCACUCGGCGGUGAGCCGGCGGCGCCUCAGCUAGUUGGUGGGGUAAUGGCCUACCAAGGCGAAGACGCGUAGCUGGUCUGAGAGGAUGAUCAGCCACACUGGGACUGAGACACGGCCCAGACUCCUACGGGAGGCAGCAGUGGGGAAUAUUGGACAAUGGGCGCAAGCCUGAUCCAGCCACGCCGCGUGAGUGAUGAAGGCCUUCGGGUCGUAAAGCUCUGUGGGGAGGGACGAACCGCUGCACGUGCAUAGCGUGCAGCAUGACGGUACCUCCUUAGCAAGCACCGGCUAACUUCGUGCCAGCCGCCGCGGUAA